RNAcentral lists this ribosomal RNA (379 nucleotides) under uncultured bacterium. RNAcentral's name for it is "bacterial SSU rRNA". It matches the Rfam family "Bacterial small subunit ribosomal RNA", at positions 28 to 407 of the family's 1533-position model. The record is from RNAcentral.
GACGAACGCUGGCGGCGUGCUUAACACAUGCAAGUCGAACGAGGCUCCUUCUUCGGUUGGGGUUCUAGUGGCGAACGGGUGAGUAACACGUGGGCAACCUGCCCCUGGCUCUGGGAUAACUCCAAGAAAUUGGGGCUAAUACCGGAUAUGACCGCUGAUCGCAUGGUCUGGUGGUGGAAAGAUUUAUCGGCUGGGGAUGGGCCCGCGGCCUAUCAGCUUGUUGGUGGGGUAGUGGCCCACCAAGGCGACGACGGGUAGCCGGCCUGAGAGGGUGACCGGCCACACUGGGACUGAGACACGGCCCAGACUCCUACGGGAGGCAGCAGUGGGGAAUAUUGCGCAAUGGGCGAAAGCCUGACGCAGCGACGCCGCGUGGGGA